AUGGAAGAGCUUGGCCUCAAGGAGGCCGAUCUCCAAGAUGUGGUGAUCGAAGACGAGGAAUUACCAGCGGAGGCGACCCGCUGGAUGGCAAUAGCUAGGGUUCACACGGAUCGAACCUAUAGCCAAUACUGGUUUUUUAGGAACAUGAGGGCGUCUUGGGACCUGGCCAAGGAUGUGAAAAUCAGACCGCUCGAGGACAAUCUAUACACGCUGCAGUUUGCAUGCUUGGGAGACUGGGAACAUGUGAUGCAGGACGGGCCAUGGUCGUUCAAGGGAAGGGCUGUGGUUUUGGAACCAUAUGACGGCUACACAAAACUUUCGACGAUUGAUCUCACCAGGAUUGAGAUAUGGAUUCAGAUCCAAGACUUCCCUGAUGGUUUCUUCUCAAAAUCAAGGCUCUGUCUUCAACUGUGGGCGAAUUCAUAUACGCCGAGCCAAUGUCUCAGGAUGUUACCAAACCCUUGA
This 465-nucleotide ribosomal RNA is filed under the name Triticum aestivum (bread wheat). RNAcentral's name for it is "partial small subunit ribosomal RNA". The record is from RNAcentral. Lineage: Eukaryota; Viridiplantae; Streptophyta; Magnoliopsida; Poales; Poaceae.